Molecule: ribosomal RNA, 253 nt
Filed under: uncultured bacterium
Lineage: Bacteria
Description: partial 16S ribosomal RNA
Rfam family: Bacterial small subunit ribosomal RNA
Source: RNAcentral
UACGGGGGGGGCAAGCGUUGUUCGGAAUUACUGGGCGUAAAGGGUUCGUAGGUGGCCACCUAAGUCAGACGUGAAAUCCCUCAGCUUAACUGGGGAACUGCGUCUGAUACUGGGUGGCUUGAGUGCAGGAGAGGAAUGCGGAAUUCCAGGUGUAGCGGUGAAAUGCGUAGAGAUCCGGAGGAACACCAGCGGCGAAGGCGGCGUCCUGGACUGGUACUGACGCUCAGGAGCGAAAGCGUGGGGAGCGAUCCGG